Molecule: ribosomal RNA, 629 nt
Filed under: bacterium 94-L049642-122-014-F12
Lineage: Bacteria
Description: bacterial SSU rRNA
Rfam family: Bacterial small subunit ribosomal RNA
Source: RNAcentral
GCAGUCGAACGAUGAUGCCCAGCUUGCUGGGCGGAUUAGUGGCGAACGGGUGAGUAAUACGUGAGUAACCUGCCCUUGACUCUGGGAUAAGCCUGGGAAACUGGGUCUAAUACUGGAUACUACCUCGCACCGCAUGGUGGGUGGUGGAAAGGGUUUUACUGGUUUUGGAUGGGCUCACGGCCUAUCAGCUUGUUGGUGGGGUAAUGGCUCACCAAGGCGACGACGGGUAGCCGGCCUGAGAGGGUGACCGGCCACACUGGGACUGAGACACGGCCCAGACUCCUACGGGAGGCAGCAGUGGGGAAUAUUGCACAAUGGGCGGAAGCCUGAUGCAGCGACGCCGCGUGAGGGAUGACGGCCUUCGGGUUGUAAACCUCUUUCAGUAGGGAAGAAGCGAGAGUGACGGUACCUGCAGAAGAAGCGCCGGCUAACUACGUGCCAGCAGCCGCGGUAAUACGUAGGGCGCAAGCGUUGUCCGGAAUUAUUGGGCGUAAAGAGCUCGUAGGCGGUUUGUCGCGUCUGCUGUGAAAGCCCGGGGCUCAACCCCGGGUCUGCAGUGGGUACGGGCAGACUAGAGUGCAGUAGGGGAGACUGGAAUUCCUGGUGUAGCGGUGAAAUGCGCAGAUAUC